ACGAAAGGGGCUAGCGUUGUUCGGAAUUACUGGGCGUAAAGCGCACGUAGGCGGCCAUGUAAGUUGGGGGUGAAAUCCCGGGGCUCAACCCCGGAACUGCCUUCAAAACUACAUAGCUAGAGGAUGUGAGAGGAUAGUGGAAUUCCGAGUGUAGAGGUGAAAUUCGUAGAUAUUCGGAAGAACACCAGUGGCGAAGGCGACUGUCUGGCACAUUUCUGACGCUGAGGUGCGAAAGCGUGGGGAGCAAACAGG
This 252-nucleotide ribosomal RNA is filed under the name uncultured bacterium. RNAcentral describes it as "partial 16S ribosomal RNA". It matches the Rfam family "Bacterial small subunit ribosomal RNA", at positions 525 to 776 of the family's 1533-position model. The record is from RNAcentral.